This is a long non-coding RNA of Asparagus officinalis (garden asparagus), 903 nucleotides long. RefSeq lists it as uncharacterized. NCBI's taxonomy places the organism in Eukaryota, Viridiplantae, Streptophyta, Magnoliopsida, Asparagales, Asparagaceae. The transcript is spliced from 3 exons. The record is from RefSeq and is a predicted model, not a curated record.
UGUACGUCCUCCUCUUUCUCUCUCCUCUCCGUCCUCCUCAUCAUCUCCCUCCUCUUGCUCCUCUCCUCCGUCGGCCACUGCAAGACCGUCUUCAUCUCCUACUACACCACCACCAUCACCACCUCGACCGCCAUGUCAUCCCUCUCUAACCACCACAUGGGCCCCACCUCCCGCUUCUACGCCCAUGACCCAAAACCUCCUUUUCUUUUCCCUUGAAGCGGAACGAAGACUUCUAAACCGCCAUUGACUCUCAAAUCUCUCUCUCAAGGCUCCAAAUUUCCCUUUUUCCUUCUAUUUUCGACAUAAAAUUUUAAUCUUUUUUCCUAACAAUUCGGUUUUCUUCUGAAUCCAAGAGUAAAGAUGCAGAACGAAGAGGGAACCAUCGUCGAUCUCUACAUCCCAAGAAAAUGACAUGAAUAUAACAUUCUUUGAUUGAUUUCUUUUGAUUUAGGGUUUCAUUUGUUGAUUGUUUUUUGUUUUUUUUUCAAUUUUACUCAGUUCUGCGACGAAUCGAUUGAUUACUGCAAAGGAUCGUGCCGCGGUCUAGAUUUUGAUGAAUGGUUUGAAUUUUGUUGGAUUGCAGAUGGUUAUGAUGUUAAUGAGAGAUUGAUUUGAAGCUGAAAUUGUGUCUAAAGAUUUUGGUUCGAGAGAUGAUGAGUUAUGAAGCUAAUAAUCUCAUUCUAGGGAUCAAAAAGAAUUGUCGAGGCAUUAGGUCUUCAUGUACCUCGAUCACGAAGUACUGUUCGAAGAAACUGCCGAAGGAUUGCUCGGUUCUCACACUGAGCAAUGGCAAGAUUGUAUUCCAGAGAGAAUCCACAGGUUUAGUUUGAUCUGGUUUGAUACAUUAAGUUUAGCUUUUGUUGAUUGUCUACAAUCUAUGAAAUGAAACCAUAUUUUUGUUAC